Molecule: ribosomal RNA, 496 nt
Filed under: uncultured bacterium
Lineage: Bacteria
Description: partial 16S ribosomal RNA
Rfam family: Bacterial small subunit ribosomal RNA
Source: RNAcentral
GAUGAACGCUGGCGGCGUGCCUAAUACAUGCAAGUCGAGCGAACAGAUAAGGAGCUUGCUCCUUUGACGUUAGCGGCGGACGGGUGAGUAACACGUGGAUAACCUACCUAUAAGACUGGGAUAACUUCGGGAAACCGGAGCUAAUACCGGAUAACAUAUUGAACCGCAUGGUUCAAUAGUGAAAGGCGGCUUUGCUGUCACUUAUAGAUGGAUCCGCGCCGUAUUAGCUAGUUGGUAAGGUAACGGCUUACCAAGGCAACGAUACGUAGCCGACCUGAGAGGGUGAUCGGCCACACUGGAACUGAGACACGGUCCAGACUCCUACGGGAGGCAGCAGUAGGGAAUCUUCCGCAAUGGGCGAAAGCCUGACGGAGCAACGCCGCGUGAGUGAUGAAGGUCUUCGGAUCGUAAAACUCUGUUAUCAGGGAAGAACAAAUGUGUAAGUAACUGUGCACAUCUUGACGGUACCUGAUCAGAAAGCCACGGCGAACUACGU